AACGAACGCUGGCGGCGUGCCUAAUACAUGCAAGUCGAACGUUAAGUGUAGCAAUACACUGAAAGUGGCGAACGGGUGAGUAACACGUAAGUAAUCUGCCUUUAAGAUUGGGAUAACCUUGCCAACGCGGGGCUAAUACCGGAUGUGGUUGACAUGACGCAUGUUGUGUUAAUUAAAGGAGUGAUCCGCUUAAAGAUGAACUUGCGGCCCAUUAGUUAGUUGGCGGGGUAAUGGCCCACCAAGACCGCGAUGGGUAGCCGGCCUGAGAGGGUGAACGGCCACAUUGGGACUGAGAUACGGCCCAGACUCCUACGGGAGGCAGCAGUAGGGAAUUUUGCGCAAUGGACGAAAGUCUGACGCAGCAACGCCGCGUGAGGGAUGAAGGUCUUCGGAUUGUAAACCUCUGUUGAAUGGGAAAAAAAGUAGCAAUAUUUGAUGGUACCAUUUGAGGAAGCACCGGCUAACUACGUGCCAGCAGCCGCGGUAAUACGUAGGGUGCAAGCGUUGUUCGGAAUCACUGGGCGUAAAGAGAGCGUAGGCGGGAUUGUAAGUUAGAAGUUUAAUACAAGGGCUCAACCCUUGAGCGGCUUUUAAUACUGCAGUUCUUGAAUGUGGGAGAGGGCGAUGGAAUUCCAGGUGUAGCGGUGGAAUGCGUAGAUAUCUGGAAGAACACCAGUAGCGAAGGCGGUCGCCUGGCCUAACAUUGACGCUGAGGCUCGAAAGCUAGGGGAGCAAACAGGAUUAGAUACCCUGGUAGUCCUAGCCGUAAACGAUGAACACUAGUUGCCGGAGGAGUCAAUCUUUUUGGUGACGAAGCUAACGCAUUAAGUGUUCCGCCUGGGAAGUACGCUCGCAAGAGUGAAACUCAAAGGAAUUGACGGGGGCCCGCACAAGCGGUGGAGCAUGUGCUUUAAUUCGAUGCAACGCGAAGAACCUUACCUAGGCUUGACAUGGGAGUGAAAUCUUGUAGAAAUAUGAGACCUUCCGCAAGGAACACUCUACACAGGUGCUGCAUGGUUGUCGUCAGCUCGUGUCGUGAGAUGUUGGGUUAAGUCCCGCAACGAGCGCAACCCUCGCCCUUAGUUGCUAACAGGUUAUGCUGAGAACUCUAAGGGGACUGCCUAGUUUAACUAGGAGGAAGGUGGGGAUGACGUCAAAUCCUCAUGGCCCUUACGCCUAGGGCUAGACACGUGCUACAAUGGUCGGUACAACGGGAUGCGAAACAGUGAUGUCGAGCAAAUCCCAAAAAACCGAUCUCAGUUCGGAUUGGAGUCUGCAAUUCGACUCCAUGAAGCUGGAAUCGCUAGUAAUCGCGGAUCAGCAUGCCGCGGUGAAUACGUUCCCGGGCCUUGUACACACCGCCCGUCAAGCCAUGAAAGAUGGUAGUACCCGAAGCCGUCUGCUUAACCGCAAGGAGAGCGACGUCUAAGGUAAGGCCGUUGAUUGGGGCU
RNAcentral lists this ribosomal RNA (1451 nucleotides) under uncultured bacterium. RNAcentral describes it as "bacterial SSU rRNA". It matches the Rfam family "Bacterial small subunit ribosomal RNA". The record is from RNAcentral.